This 106-nucleotide transfer RNA is filed under the name Desulfurococcus mucosus DSM 2162. It matches the Rfam family "tRNA". Rfam says of the family: Transfer RNA (tRNA) molecules are approximately 80 nucleotides in length. Their secondary structure includes four short double-helical elements and three loops (D, anti-codon, and T loops). Lineage: Archaea; Thermoproteati; Thermoproteota; Thermoprotei; Desulfurococcales; Desulfurococcaceae. RNAcentral also lists the same sequence under 1 other name. The record is from Rfam by way of RNAcentral.
GGGGCCGUCGUCUAGCCUGGCUAGGAUGCCGGCCUGGGGGGAGUACCCCCGUGGCCCAGGACUCCCGGAGCGCCGGUGGUCCCGGGUUCAAAUCCCGGCGGCCCCA